UACGGGAGGCAGCAGGGGGAAUAUUGCACAAUGGGCGCAAGCCUGAUGCAGCCAUGCCGCGUGUAUGAAGAAGGCCUUCGGGUUGUAAAGUACUUUCAGUCGUGAGGAAGGUGUUAAGGUUAAUAACCUUAGCAAUUGACGUUAGCGACAGAAGAAGCACCGGCUAACUCCGUGCCAGCAGCCGCGGUAAUACGGAGGGUGCGAGCGUUAAUCGGAAUUACUGGGCGUAAAGGGCACGCAGGCGGUUAAUUAAGUUGGAUGUGAAAUCCCCGGGCUUAACCUGGGAAUGGCAUUCAAGACUGGUUAGCUAGAGUCUUGUAGAGGGGGUAGAAUUCCAUGUGUAGCGGUGAAAUGCGUAGAGAUGUGGAGGAAUACCGGUGGCGAAGGCGGCCCCUGGGACAAAGGACUGACGCUCAUGUGCGAAAGCGUGGGGAGCAAACAGGGAUUAGAUACC
Molecule: ribosomal RNA, 454 nt
Filed under: uncultured bacterium
Lineage: Bacteria
Description: bacterial SSU rRNA
Rfam family: Bacterial small subunit ribosomal RNA
Source: RNAcentral